RNAcentral lists this ribosomal RNA (348 nucleotides) under uncultured bacterium. RNAcentral describes it as "partial 16S ribosomal RNA". It matches the Rfam family "Bacterial small subunit ribosomal RNA", at positions 338 to 703 of the family's 1533-position model. The record is from RNAcentral.
CCUACGGGAGGCAGCAGUGGGGGAUAUUGCACAAUGGGGGGAACCCUGAUGCAGCGACGCCGCGUGGGUGAAGAAGUGCCUCGGCGCGUAAAGCCCUGUCAGCAGGGAAGAAAAUGACGGUACCUGAAGAAGAAGCCCCGGCUAACUACGGGCCAGCAGCCGCGGUAAGCCGUAGGGGGCAAGCGUUAUCCGGAUUUACUGGGUGUAACGGGGGCGGCGACGGCGCUGCAAGCCAGGAGUGAACGCCCGGGGCCCAACCCCGGGACUGCUCUUGCAACUGCGUGGCUGGAGUGCAGGAGGGGCAGGUGGAAUUCCUGGUGUAGCGGUGAACUGCGUAGAUAUCAGGAG